UUUUUUUUUUUUUUUUUUUUUUUCCCUUCUGGGUUGCUUUGGCACUUUUGAGUCUUUUACAGUUCCAUGUAAAUUUUAGGAUUAUUUUUGUUCUAGUUCUGUGAAAAAUAUGAUAGGUAAUUUAAUAGGAUCACAUUAAAUCUGUAGAUUGCUUUGGGCAGUUUGGCCAUUUUAGUAAUAUUAAUUCUCCCAAGCCAAGAGCAUUGAAUAUCUUUCCAUUUAUUUAAAUCAUUUCAAUUUCCUUUAUUAAUGUUUCAUAGUUCUCAGCAUAUAAGUCUUUCCCCUCCUUGGUCAGGUUUAUUCCAAAGUAUUUUAUUUAGAUUGUGAAAUUUUAACAGGCUUUUUUUUUUUUACCUUCACUUUCUGAUAUUUCAUUGUUAGUGCAUAGAAAUGCAACCAAUUUCACUAUGUUAAUGUUGUAUACUGCUACCUUGCUGAAUUCAUUUAUCAGUUCUUGUAAAUUUUGUGUGGAGUCUGUCUGCAUUUUUAAAAGCUAGAGCUGCUUUCUUUCUUACUGCAGAUGUUCACAAUUGCAAAUUGCUUUUAAACACAAAUCCAGUGUCUGAAUCUGAAUCACUCUGUUGGUAGUUUACUGUGAUAACAGCACAAGGUUGAUCUGAAAGUGCUGUGUUUCAUUGCCAAAAGCCACCUGUUUCUACUAUAUUUAGAUGAUGAUUUUGAUGUGAAAAAUCAUAGGUCAGAAAAAGUGCAUUUAAGUGAUGUCUGUCUAUACCUCACUUGGUCAAGCUCCUGCUUAUUGUCAAGAAUUGGAUGUGUUUAGCACUGAAUACAUUGGUCCUUUCCAUCUUUCAGUAUAAAUUUCUUCCACCAAGUCCAGGAAAAACAAUAUAAAUUUUCAUUAAAGAAAGCACUAUAUUAUGACAGCACUAAAUGAAUCACCUACAAUCACUUUUAAAAGGCUUGAUUUAUUUUCCACACUUGGGAGGCACUAUGUUGUAAAAAUAUUUUCACUAACAAGUAUGAAAUAUGGCAAUAUAUGUUUUUAUCCAUACUGCAUGUGGCUAUAUAACACAUUUCCUUUUUGUGUAUAUCUGCACACACAAUGCGUGUCUGUAGUGGGGCCUCCAGGUAAUUUCUUGGUCACAUUGACUUCUUUAAUAAAAAAAAGGAAAACAAAUUGGCCAGGCAGCUCAGACACACAUCAAAUUCAUCAUAGCUGGAGAUAAUAUUUUCCCAAAGUGAUUCAUACUCUCACCUUCCUGCCGGAGUUUUCUCCACCCAGUGACAUAGUGACAUAGUGAAAUGUCACUGAAGUGAAGGCUAUUUCGUUUAGCCUUGAGCAAACAUAGAAGCUGAACUGUGGAUACACAGAAUUCCUUUUCCUUUUCGAAGACGUGGGUUUUAUGCAUGUGUAACUGGAGCUCAGCUGAAUCCAGAGAGCUGCUGCGUGAUAAGAGCUGGGUUUGAAAACAAAGUGCAAUGGAAUGACUUGAAUAACAAAAUCCCAGGCAGAGUGUUUCUGAGCUCACUGCAUUUACACUCUGCAAGGAGAUCAAUGCUUCCCCUCAUUGAUUUUCCUCAGUUGCAGUGCCAGGAUUAUGCAUGUUGUGAAGCUGUGGUCCCGGAUUCAUCCAGUCUAAUUUCCUAGCCAGCACUAAAAAAGCAUAGUGUUCAACUGUAAACAGGAGGUUAUAAAAGUAUAACUGGAUCAAAUUUGUCCCUCCACUAAGCCUGCCUGUGAAACAGAAGCACACUAAUGUAUUCCUAGUGUGAUGCAAGAGCUGCCCAGGAAGGGACAUAUUCUGUUUGUGCUCAGCUUCUAAAUAAAUGGUAGAUAUGCUGAAGAUAAAUAUGAGAUGUGUUGCAUACUUUUGCUUAGCUCCUGAGAUAUUUUCAAAUGCACCAGAGCUUCCUUCCUGGAAGACUUGAAAUGCAAAAUAAGCCUAUGAAGAAAUUAUUCUCUUCUUAAACUCACAGACUGACUCUAAACCAUCUGAUUUUGAAAUUACCUUAACGUUUGUAAUUGGAGAAGGUGGUUGGUUAGAAGGCUGUAAAAAUCAAGGGUCUAUUAAAAAAUUGAGGGUCCUUUUCACUGUAAACAACUGGCAGCUGUAAUGGUUGGUGGGUUUAUUCUGCAGUUAACACAAUUCUUCCCUCCCUUAACUUUAUGGAACUUAUUGUAAUUCAGUUGAGCAUUGACAGCCAACCGGAAAAUGAAAAUACCCAAAAAAGGUGACUUCAGCUUUUUCCAAAUUUUAGCAUACUGUUAGUAGGAGUGGGAAUGGGAAAGCAGACGCCUAUAUUAAAUUUUCCUUUCCCCAUUCCACUUUGAGGAUGGGCAAGGUGUCCCAUUACCACUAGAACUUAGGAUUUGCUUUGAAAAAAUGAUGUAAAAUAAGCAUUUCCUACUAAGACUAGAUAAAUGAUUACACAGCUGCUUGCCUUUCAAACAGAAUUUGUUCAGAAUCUGGGCUUGCCUGGGUGCUUACUUCAUUUUUAAAGACUGCUGUCACAGCUCGCUGUCUGGGUGUGCUGGAAACCAGAGUGUUCUCUCAUGUACCCACCCCUAACCACCACUUCCCCUAAGAAAACCAUGUCUAGGGGCAAAGGAAGGAGGGCUGGACACCAAAGACCUUCUGGUUGACCCAUAUCCAGGACUAAUAGUUUCCACUUCCCAGACUUAACGUGUAAAUUGAGCUGGCAGAUGUACCUUCCUUGAUGGGAAAUAUAUAAGCAUGUUUACAAGUUACCUAAGCAGUGGACAUUUUCCUAGUAAAAGGUUAACCAAGCUGUUAAGUUUUUCAGCGACUGAAAAUGAAAAGUGAAUUCCCUGUUCCAAAUUACAAACCUAUCCCACAGAUUAUCCUUCCUCCUCUGAAUCACUCACAAAGACUUUUUAAAAAAAUUAAAUAAUAACUAUUGGUUCCCAGUAUAAACAGAAAAGAGACCAAUUCAGCCUUGUGCACUAAAAACUAACAAACACACCUUGGUUUCCUUAUGUAUUUCUAAACUGCCAUGUGCAAACUGUUGUGUUUUACUCACUGGCAUUGGUUGUAACAUGUAUUUUUCCAUUUGUUAUUUACAAGUGUCAGUGAUUUUCAAUAACUGUGACGUGGCAUUAAUUACAUUAAUAUUUAAAUGAUACUAUUCUGAGUAUCAUUAAAAGCAGCUCGUUUACCCCUUUCCUGUUUGCCCAUUUCUGUUCCCCCCAACUUUGAAAGAACCUAAUUAAUCUGCUGAUUAUUUCCCUAGAUUAAAAAAAGAAAAGAAUGAAGAAUUGUAGCUAAAGAAUGACUAGUUCCCUACCACUACCAGCCUCCUUAGCAAUCCUGCAGGCAGAUCUCUUGGGCCACAUAACAUCUAAAGAGAGUCAGCCAGUCUGCAGACAAUGGUGAAUGAUGCAGAACACAACCUCCUACCUCAGUGAUUCACUGAAAUUCUUUCCCUCUUUUCCCUUUAAAAACUGUCCUGGCUGAGCAGAAUCUUCAGAGGUGGUCUCUGGACACAAGUCCACCUUCUCCCCAGAUUGUCAGCUUUUCUGACUCAAGCACCUUUCCUUUCUGUUGACACUUGCCUCUCAAAAUAGUGGCUUUUGAGCAGUGAGCAGCUGAACCUGAUUCUGGCAAUAUUAUUAUUAUUUUUUUUAAUUAAAGUAACUUAUAUGUCCCAUGUAGUAAUUUUGAGAUAUUUGAAAUUUACACUGGAAUUAUUUUCCUUGAGUGCAAAGGAACACGUUUCCUGUGUUCCAACCCGGAGAACUUUCCUCUUGGAGUGUUUUCUUUAAUGAAGGCUUCUCAGAAAGUCCUGUUUCUAUAACUGGGGCCCUUGAUUGAGGGCGAGUCGUCUUAACUCAAAAUUGUAAGGUAAUUUGAUAAUGAAUAAGUAAGAGGAGAUACCAUUGUUUAACCUCCAAACUAUGCUAAUAAGCAGGGUGAUAGACUUGCCAUGCUGAAUAAUGGAACUGUUAUUCUAGCCCAGUGGGACUGUCUCCAGUGCCUCCUGGGAGGAUUUGCCAGGCAGAGCCCUGUGGUUCCUGAGUGCACUUUGCUUAGCCUCCAGUAUCUAGUUACAGCACGUUUAUCAGAGGAAAUCACAAUUAGGAAGAAAACCGCAUUCUCCACUCUUUCAAAUAAGAAACAUCCCUCUGUGUUACUUUCACUUUUACUUAUUUUACCUGGGUAAAACAGAAGUCUCAUCUGGAAAAAUAAUCGUUAACACAAAGAACUACAACAUUGAGAGAAUUUUAUUCCUAUAAAAAAAUUCUAUAAAAAUCUAUAUUUUAAAGAGGCCAUUUUCGUACUGUCAGUAAAAGAAGUAUGUUUUCUUUAUAAAGCCUGAACACACUAAUACAUUACUAUACACAGCAUAAAGUUUAGGGUAUUUGAACAGUGGAAAUAGAAAGCAUUCAUAGUUAUUCAACCCUGAAUACUUAGGACAUUUCAUUUCUUUUUACAGCACCCAUAUUCAGUCAAUAAAAGAUCAAAUGCUUUUGGUCACUGGACUGAAAAAAAUCAAAUCCUCCGAACUUUUAGCACUUGAUGUUCUCCGAGUACUUGCUCUCAGCUAUAGCUCAUUAAAUGAGCUGAUUCACCACUGAGUCUAUAAAUUGAAACAAAAGCAAAGAGUUCUUAUUUUGAAAGUAGAUGGCACCAAGCUGAAACACACUUAAAUCUGGGUUGUUUACAUAUUUUUCCUGCACAUAGUGAGUAUUUAGCCGAAUAAGUCCUUGUCCGUUCAUCUGGCACUUUUUCAGGACUGAUCUAAUUAGACUUCUCUGGGUGGGAGUGGUAAAACCAUGAAUAUUAAUUGCUAACUGCAUGAGACUGAGGGGAAAUAACGCAAAAGGUAAAGCAAGCUAGAUAAAAAUGGGUAUUUUGUAAUGGCAUGAGUUGCAUUUACUUCAUGUUUAUUGAAUUUUAUUUAUUUUAUUUCAUGCAAAAAAAUAUAGCAUCAGGCACCAUUCUAGGCAUUUUAUAAACAGAGUAAAUGAACAACUUUAUGAAAUAGAUACUAUUAUUUGCUGCUUUGGAAGACGGUCUAGCAGUUUCUCAACUGGUUAAGUAUAGAGUUACCAUAUGAUCCAGCAAUUCUACUCCUAGGAAUAUACCUAUAAGAAUUGAAAACAAUGUCCACACAAAAACUGGCAUACAAAUGUUCACAGCAGCACUAUUUAU
RNAcentral lists this long non-coding RNA (5135 nucleotides) under Sus scrofa (pig). RNAcentral describes it as "lncRNA (ENSSSCG00000058705.1)". The record is from RNAcentral. Lineage: Eukaryota; Metazoa; Chordata; Mammalia; Artiodactyla; Suidae.